Long non-coding RNA from Xyrauchen texanus (razorback sucker), 385 nucleotides. RefSeq lists it as uncharacterized. Lineage: Eukaryota; Metazoa; Chordata; Actinopteri; Cypriniformes; Catostomidae. The transcript has 3 exons. The record is from RefSeq and is a predicted model, not a curated record.
AAUGUGUCUGUUGGAGAGUUAUCCCUGCCAGGGGAUCUGUUACUCCCCCCUAGACACCCAGGAGGAUUUGGCGUUGCUUGACAACAGUUUGAGGCAGGAUAAAGAGCUCCAGCAACGAUUUCUUCGGUUUUUGGCAAUUAAAUGUGGGAGGGACCUAAAGACAACCGUGUGGCUAAUGCUUCAGAGUAUCUUCUCUAAUCACCUUUCCAUCAAUACAACCUGGACUGGUGUAGGGGAUAAAGCAUGUUUUAGAGACAUGUUCCUGAAGACCAUUGUUCAAAGAGCCAUCCGGAAGAACCCGGCAACCCAGGAUGCCACUGAUGAGGUGAUCCAGGUUAAUGUUACGUGUUACCUGAAAGGAGCAUCUGAACAUGAAGGUGGAAAA